GAGAGAGAGAGAGAGAGAGAGAGAGAGAGAGAGAGAGAGAGAGAGAGAGAGAGAAUCAUUUUCCAGUUAAAAUCCUUUUUCAGGUGUGCUCCUCUGACAUGACAUAUGACUCAACAGUGUAAACUGCAGUUGACUCUAGUUCUGUACUGUAAUCCCACUGCUGCUGGCUUCAUAAACAGUGUUGUAGAGCAUUCAGUACAUUUACUUUUCCCAUUUGCUUUCUUUAUAGUAGAGAUCCCCUUACAAGCAGUCUAUUAGACUUAGGUUUUAUAAACAACAUCUCUCUCUGCCUUCUCUUCCUGGGAUGAAAGAUGCUGAAUCCACACAUUACAUAUUUCCACACUUACUUGCAUUUGAUUGAUAUAAAUAAUUUCAGAACUGUGUCUUAUUUUUUUUUUACCAUCAAAAGCCUCUGUUUUUGUGCGGUUCACUGUGAACACCUGGUGUCCGGGCAACAGUCACUGUGUCACACCCGCAAGUAGCAUUACUGUGUAACAGUCAGUGAAGUAUUGUUGCUUUCCCUUCCAAAAUAAAUUAGUAUUUUAAAUCAUUUGUAUUCUCUAUAAAAAAAAAAAUCCAUGUUUGCUAUAUUUGGUAUUUUUCCAGUUUGUUUGUUGUUUUAGCCCCACAGUGCUUCUACAGCUGUUUCUUUGUGUUGUGUGGUUUGUUCUGUACAAGGUCAUGUUUGUAGUGGUGUUGCCCUGUCAUGUUGACACCUGGUCUGUUCUCUCUAUGAUGCUGUGUUGUGACGUGUUUCCAUGGUGCGUAACCAGGGUGAUGGUGUUAUCUGAUGAUCUCUGACUGUAUCCUGUGCGUCCUGACUCCUGUCUCAACGAAGGGAGGCUAUGCAGUAUGUGUCUGAACAUCACAGAGGGGUUCAGUGGGAACGAAAGCUUGUCACAAUUGUAAUUAUUUUUAUAUCAGGUUUAUGUUUGAAGCCAGGAGGCCAGAUAAGUUUGCUUUGGUUAAGACAUACACAAACACACACACACACUAAUGAUGUCACAGCUCAUCCACAUUUGGAGAAGGAGAUUCCUAAACAUUGUAGAAUAUGAAUGAGUAGAGGAACAUCUGUGCCUAUACUUAGUCUGUUGCUGAUCCUCAACCAAUCAAGAGAAAUCAUCUGAAUCAAGAAGAAUAGGCCACUCCCACACUGAUCUGUGGUGUGUGGCAACAUUCAUGUUCUAACUGACAAUCAGCAGUGCUUUACUCCUAUAAUACGAGGUGAGGUGAUCAGUAGGAAUUGUUUUAUUCCUAUAAUACGAUCUGUAAUACGAGGUGAGGUGAUCAGUAGGAAUUGUUUUAUUCCUAUAAUACGAUCUGUAAUACGAUGUGAGAUGAACAUCAGCCCAAACAAUGAAAAUGAGUCUUGAGUAUUUCAACUGAGACAGAGGGAUACCCAGACCUUUUAGGCUACGUUUACACUGCCAGCCCAAUUCUGAUCUUUUGCCCAAUUAUUGGCAAAAGAGCUUAUCUGAUUGGUUAAAAGACCAAUUGGUGCCAAUAAUAUCUGAAUUGGGCUGCCUGUGUAAACGCAGCCAUAGAGACCGGAUGAGGAGACAAGUUUAGUAACAGACUGAUUUGUAGAUCAAUGUGCAGAGGAGAGCUUCAGGCAUUUUGACAGAAGCUCUGGUCUGACAGAGAGAUGCCUGGAUGGAUUCCUGUAAUUGUGUUCUGAUUAUGUUCACCGGUCCAGUAAGACAUUGUUACAGUAAUGUGGUCAAAUGCACAGGCAGAGUUGUGACAGUGACUCCAGUCCAGUAAGACAUUGUUAUAGUAAUGUGGUCAAAUGCACAGGCAGAGUUGUGACAGUGACUCCAGUCCAGUAAGACAUUGUUAUAGUAAUGUGGUCAAAUGCACAGGCAGAGUUGUGACAGUGACUCCAGUCCAGUAAGACAUUGUUACAGUAAUGUGGUAAAGUGACCCCAGUACAGUAGCUCAGUGCCUAUAAAUGUGAGGUAGUGCCUCGACUAUGAAUUCUUUAAUAAACUAUUUAGACUUGCUGUCUGAUUCUA
This is a long non-coding RNA of Coregonus clupeaformis (lake whitefish), 2015 nucleotides long. RefSeq lists it as uncharacterized. The record is from RefSeq and is a predicted model, not a curated record. The transcript has 2 exons. Lineage: Eukaryota; Metazoa; Chordata; Actinopteri; Salmoniformes; Salmonidae.